Molecule: unclassified non-coding RNA, 298 nt
Filed under: Hevea brasiliensis (rubber tree)
Lineage: Eukaryota; Viridiplantae; Streptophyta; Magnoliopsida; Malpighiales; Euphorbiaceae
Source: RNAcentral
CGAUACCAAACUCUGUCUCCCUCUUCGUCAAACUCUUUGUCUCCCUCUUUUCCCCCUUACUAGUUCUCCUUCAAUGGCUUCUGUCAAAUUCUUUCUUCUGUCUUGCUCCUUUUUCUAUUUUCUUUACCAAGUUCAUGCUCAGACCUCCUUCCUGCCAGAUUCUGUACUUCUUCCUGUUACCAAAGAUAUCUCAACCCUCCAAUACAUUACCCAAAUCGAUUAUGGCACCUCACAAUUACCCACCAAGCUUGUAGUUGAUCUCGGCAGUCCCUUUCUCUUGGUUGAUUGUGUCUCAGGC